GGCAUAUACAAUGAGAUGCAAUAUCGCGAGAUGGAGCAAAUCUAUAAAAUAUGUCUCAGUUCGGAUUGCUCUCUGCAACUCGAGAGCAUGAAGCCGGAAUCGCUAGUAAUCGUAGAUCAGCCAUGCUACGGUGAAUACGUUCCCGGGUCUUGUACUCACCGCCCGUCACACCAUGGGAGUUGAUUUCACUCGAAGUCGGAAUGCUAAAUUAGCUACCGCCCACAGUGGAAUCAGCGACUGGGGUGAAGUCGUAACAAGGUAACCGUAGGAGAACCUGCGGUUGGAUCACCUCCUUUCUAGA
RNAcentral lists this ribosomal RNA (301 nucleotides) under Campylobacter fetus subsp. testudinum. Its description in RNAcentral is "partial 16S ribosomal RNA". It matches the Rfam family "Bacterial small subunit ribosomal RNA", at positions 1232 to 1533 of the family's 1533-position model. The record is from RNAcentral. Lineage: Bacteria; Pseudomonadati; Campylobacterota; Epsilonproteobacteria; Campylobacterales; Campylobacteraceae.